UACAGAGGGUGCGAGCGUUAAUCGGAAUUACUGGGCGUAAAGGGUGCGUAGGUGGUUUUAUAAGUCAGAUGUGAAAUUCCCGGGCUUAACCUGGGGACUGCGUCUGAUACUGUGAAGCUAGAGUACUGUAGAGGAAAGUGGAAUUUCCGGUGUAGCAGUGAAAUGCGUAGAUAUCGGAAGGAACAUCAGUGGCGAAGGCGACUUUCUGGACAGAUACUGACACUGAGGCACGAAAGCGUGGGGAGCAAACAGG
Molecule: ribosomal RNA, 253 nt
Filed under: uncultured bacterium
Lineage: Bacteria
Description: partial 16S ribosomal RNA
Rfam family: Bacterial small subunit ribosomal RNA
Source: RNAcentral